CCGUAGAAAAAAAAGGAUGAGCUGGCGGCGGCCUACACAUGCAAGUCGAGCGGUAGCGCAGAGAGCUUGGUCUCGGGUGACGAGCGGCGGACGGGUGAGUAAUGUCUGGGAAACUGCCUGAUGGAGGGGGAUAACUACUGGAAACGGUAGCUAAUACCGCAUAACGUCGCAAGACCAAAGUGGGGGACCUUCGGGCCUCAUGCCAUCAAAUGUGCCCAGAUGGGAUUAACUAGUAAGUGGGGUAACGGCUCACCUAGGCGACCAUCCCUACCUGGUCUGAGAGGAUGACCAGCCACACUGGAACUGACACACGGUCCAGACUCCUACGGGAGGCAGCAGUGGGGAAUAUUGCACAAUGGGCGCAAGCCUGAUGCAUCCAUGCCGCGUGUGUGAAGAAGGCCUUCGGGUUGUAAAGCACUUUCAUCGGGGAGGAAGGAGAUAGGGUUAAUAACCUUGUCGAUUGACGUUACCCGCAGAAGAAGCACCGGCUAACUCCGUGCCAGCCCGCCGCGGUAGGU
This 518-nucleotide ribosomal RNA is filed under the name Klebsiella pneumoniae. RNAcentral's name for it is "bacterial SSU rRNA". It matches the Rfam family "Bacterial small subunit ribosomal RNA", at positions 35 to 525 of the family's 1533-position model. The record is from RNAcentral. Lineage: Bacteria; Pseudomonadati; Pseudomonadota; Gammaproteobacteria; Enterobacterales; Enterobacteriaceae.